GAGAAUGCCGGUGUGAGUAGCGAAAGACGGGUGAGAAUCCCGUCCACCGAUUGACUAAGGUUUCCAGAGGAAGGCUCGUCCGCUCUGGGUUAGUCGGGUCCUAAGCUGAGGCCGACAGGCGUAGGCGAUGGAUAACAGGUUGAUAUUCCUGUACCACCUAUAAUCGUUUUAAUCGAUGGGGGGACGCAGUAGGAUAGGCGAAGCGUGCGAUUGGAUUGCACGUCUAAGCAGUAAGGCUGAGUAUUAGGCAAAUCCGGUACUCGUUAAGGCUGAGCUGUGAUGGGGAGAAGACAUUGUGUCUUCGAGUCGUUGAUUUCACACUGCCGAGAAAAGCCUCUAGAUAGAAAAUAGGUGCCCGUACCGCAAACCGACACAGGUAGUCAAGAUGAGAAUUCUAAGGUGAGCGAGCGAACUCUCGUUAAGGAACUCGGCAAAAUGACCCCGUAACUUCGGGAGAAGGGGUGCUCUUUAGGGUUAACGCCCAGAAGAGCCGCAGUGAAUAGGCCCAAGCGACUGUUUAUCAAAAACACAGGUCUCUGCUAAACCGUAAGGUGAUGUAUAGGGGCUGACGCCUGCCCGGUGCUGGAAGGUUAAGAGGAGUGGUUAGCUUCUGCGAAGCUACGAAUCGAAGCCCCAGUAAACGGCGGCCGUAACUAUAACGGUCCUAAGGUAGCGAAAUUCCUUGUCGGGUAAGUUCCGACCCGCACGAAAGGCGUAACGAUUUGGGCACUGUCUCAACGAGAGACUCGGUGAAAUCAUAGUACCUGUGAAGAUGCAGGUUACCCGCGACAGGACGGAAAGACCCCGUGGAGCUUUACUGUAGCCUGAUAUUGAAAUUCGGCACAGCUUGUACAGGAUAGGUAGGAGCCUUUGAAACGUGAGCGCUAGCUUACGUGGAGGCGCUGGUGGGAUACUACCCUAGCUGUGUUGGCUUUCUAACCCGCACCACUUAUCGUGGUGGGAGACAGUGUCAGGCGGGCAGUUUGACUGGGGCGGUCGCCUCCUAAAAGGUAACGGAGGCGCUCAAAGGUUCCCUCAGAAUGGUUGGAAAUCAUUCAUAGAGUGUAAAGGC
This 1072-nucleotide ribosomal RNA is filed under the name Staphylococcus aureus. RNAcentral's name for it is "partial 23S ribosomal RNA". It matches the Rfam family "Bacterial large subunit ribosomal RNA", at positions 1290 to 2358 of the family's 2925-position model. The record is from RNAcentral. Lineage: Bacteria; Bacillati; Bacillota; Bacilli; Caryophanales; Staphylococcaceae.